This 2663-nucleotide long non-coding RNA is filed under the name Helianthus annuus (common sunflower). RNAcentral's name for it is "hypothetical non coding rna". The record is from RNAcentral. Lineage: Eukaryota; Viridiplantae; Streptophyta; Magnoliopsida; Asterales; Asteraceae.
CCACCCAACUAAAAUUUCUCAUCUUUUUCCCUCUUUGUUGCUUACGGCCGAGAGCCAAGUCACAACCACCCACCCACUUUCAAAUUCCAUCUUAAUAAACCACAUACACUCAAUUGUGUAAGGUCGCAUACGAGGAGACCCGGUGCUUACAGAAUCGCGAGGACCUCACCACAACGCUAUUAACCACCCGUUUUUCGUCUAGUUUCUUCCCUAGCCUCGAGCUAGUAGUCACGACGCUAGGUAAAGCAAACCCAGUGAAGUUUACGACGCAAGGAACGCAAAGUUGUAACUAGGAUGGAUGUGCGCGUGGUCUUACUUAUGCUCGUGGAUGUCGCUUUGUUUAUCAUAAAAUAAAGUUGUAACUUUUGAGACAAUAUGCUAUCAUGUGUUGUAAACACUUGACUUAUGUUUUCGGUAAUGUAAUGUUUGAAGUUAUUUUCGAGCAUAUAGUGUGUUUACCUUUCGUAUGCAAUGAGAACCAUUCAUAAUCUCACCUCGUGCUUCCACCGCAGAAAGGGGUGUGACACAAGUGGUAUCAGAGCUCAGGACGAGGAGUUCUUGCCAUAUUCAGCUUGAAAAUCUGAUUUUCUACACCUUCUUUCAUAAAAUUGAUAUUUUUCACGGUUAAAAUCGGCUAUUGUGACAACUCGAGUUUCCGACUUUCACUUUCGCAUUUAAUGCACGUUGACUUUGACUGUUGACUGUGACUAUUAGUCGUUUGUUUAUUUGACUUAUAACUGAAACCGUUGUAAUGAGAUAAAGUGCAUUGUGUUUGCAUGAGUAUGUGUUAUUGUGUUGCAUGGUUAUGUGUUUGUUUGUGGCAUGAAAAUUUAACUGAUUAGAUCAUUACGGACCUAAAAGCCCAUUAAGGACCCGACGAAUCAAAUGUGAUUCGCCAUGCAACAACUCGACGAAACAAACACUUGAUCCGUCAAUCCAUUCUCGACGAAACAGAAUGUGUUUUGUCGGCCCAGUUUCGCCGAAAGCCCAUUAACGGCCCAACACAUUACGUAAUUAUAUACCGGACUUCCUGUUCAUUCGUCACUUUAGCAAAACACAAAAACCCUAGAGCUCCUGUGCACUGACGGCAAUUGGUGUGUGUUCCCGAGACUCUCUAGCGAUUAACUCAUCUCUCCAUCCACUCGGUUAGUCGUUUAUGUGUUCAUGAUUUCUUGACUACCCGAUUUAUGUUCGUGAAUAUGCUUGAUUUCUUUAUAUAUGUUAUGCAUGAUUAAUCGGGUACGUAACUUUGUGCAAAACAUGAUGUCGAAUAUAGAUUCUAACAAACAAGUCAUAUUGAUGAGAAUACGUGAUUGGUAGAACUGGAUUUAAUGGUGUUUAUGUCGGGUGUUAUGGUCAUGAAUCUAUCUACGUUUAGCUAACUUACAAAUCAUAUAUUGAUUAGAUGAUGAUUGUAUGAUGAAUGUUUUCUGUAUGAUUACGGUUGGUGAGUGACGGCAAUUAGGGUUUCCUGUGAUAUUGCGUAACUGUUGAAUUGUAACUGAUCUGGUUGACGUAACUGACAUCUUCACGAAACUGAAUCUUUGGCGAAACAGGAAAGGGUGUUUCGCCAAGGGGUAGUUGACGAAACAGCUGGGCUGUUUCGCCAAAGGAUAAUUGACGAAACAGGAAGGGGGCUUCGCCAAGGGGUAGUUGACGAAACAGCUGGGCUGUUUCGCCAAAGGAUAAUUGACGAAACAGGAAGGGGGUUUGGCCAAAGGGUGGUUGACGAAACAGAACAUGUUUCGCCAACCUGUGUUUCGCCAACAAUGUGUUUCGCCAAAUGUAUAAUCUGACUAGUAACUCAGUUUAAUCCUGUUAAAAGUUAACUGGGAUAUUUAACUGCUGUUAAGUAUAGAACAGUACUUGUAUGAUUACGAAUAUGUGCUAUGUGAUACUUGGUGAUUUCUGAUGCGAUGUCUACUAUGAAUAUACUUACGUGCCAACUUCAUGAAUACAAACUGAUUAUGUAUGCAUGCGUACUCUAGGACUUGAUUGAUAAACUGUGAGCACAUACUUAGCAUACCGAGCAAACCAAGGUGAGUUCACACAGCCAAGGCAUGGGAUUCCCAGGGUGGGAAUGGGGUUGGAUGAUUUAUUCGUACAGGCUCAGAUGAUAGAAUUAAAUGAUAUGGUCCUCAGGGUGAGGAAGGGUAAUGAUGAGAUACGACUAGACUAGUAUACUAAUUGAACUGAUCUUCGCACACACUCCAGGGGUUGGUCGCGAUAUUAUGACUAUCAUUCGCACACAUGCCUAGGAAGGCCGCGAACUAUACAUACUAAAACUUCGCACACAUGCCAGGGUGGCCGCGAUACAAAUAUACAUAGUCUAGAAUACUUGAGAACUUUCCCUAAUCUUCGCAUACAUGCCUAGAGGGCUGCGAUACGAACUAAUACGAUACAUGACUUAAUGAACGAACUCAAUGCUUACUAUACCAUUACUAUUACUGAACUAUUAACUGUGAACUCGCUCAACUAGUUGUUGACUCUCUGCUGCAUGCCUUGCAGGACCUUAGGUACUUAUGGAGCUUGCACAAGGAGGAGCAGGUCGUUGUGGGCACGGAUCGUGAAUGUUUCGUUAAAACACUUUAUGACAUUUCGUACUUUAUUAUGUUGGGUUUUAUUUAUACGCUUCCGCUAAACAGUGAUAACAUGCUUAUAUU